This 279-nucleotide ribosomal RNA is filed under the name uncultured bacterium. Its description in RNAcentral is "partial 16S ribosomal RNA". It matches the Rfam family "Bacterial small subunit ribosomal RNA", at positions 506 to 784 of the family's 1533-position model. The record is from RNAcentral.
UGCCAGCCGCCGCGGUAAUACGAAGGGACCUAGCGUAGUUCGGAAUUACUGGGCUUAAAGAGUUCGUAGGUGGUUGAAAAAGUUAGUGGUGAAAUCCCAGAGCUUAACUCUGGAACUGCCAUUAAAACUUUUCAGCUAGAGUAUGAUAGAGGAAAGCAGAAUUUCUAGUGUAGAGGUGAAAUUCGUAGAUAGUAGAAAGAAUACCGAUUGCGAAGGCAGCUUUCUGGAUCAUUACUGACGCUGAGGAACGAAAGCAUGGGUAGCGAACAUGAUUCGAUA